This 540-nucleotide long non-coding RNA is filed under the name Rattus norvegicus (Norway rat). RNAcentral's name for it is "long non-coding RNA NONRATT000894". Lineage: Eukaryota; Metazoa; Chordata; Mammalia; Rodentia; Muridae. The record is from RNAcentral.
GUGGUCAAGCUCUGUGUGCAGAAGUUGAAAUACAUCCCAGGAAGAGAUUCAAGAAAUGUUCAGUGCCAACAGCAGGGAGAACACCAAUUAGCUGAGAUCAGCUGCAGUGCCAAUGCCCUCUGGACAGCCUGUAUUCCCUAGGAGGGUUCCUGAUGCAUACAUAGCAAUGCGUGGCCUUGUCGUGGCUUCACUGCUCAUUCUCCUGGUUGGUGGGACUGAUGCCUUUCGUAUCUGUGCCUUCAAUGCCCACAGACUGACACUGACCAAGGUAAUCAAGGAAUCAGUGAUGGAUACCUUAGUUCAGGUAAGUUCAUUGUUUCAGAAAUUUGUGUCCAUAAGGACCCUGACCAAAAGCUCCCAGCCCUGCCAACUGUAAAAGGAGAGGACAUCUGGAAAUGUGAAUGUACAGAUGUGAAAAGCCUUUCAACCAUCAUUUAAUUACCAACUUCCUCCUCUAAAAAUGGGUAAGGUGUAAUGGAAUGAUAUUGUUUGUUCUCCUGAGUUUAUCCGAGUUUCACUGCUGUCUACAGCCACUCUGGU